AAAGAUACGAAGCCAAAGACUCAUACAGACUUCGGCUACACCAUCAAAGCUUUGAGAAGCAAGAAAAAUCUUGGUUAGUGUUCUGGAGUCAAAUAUGAAUUGUAGUCAUGUGUAUGAUUAUGUAUAAGAACUAGAACUGCAACCGGAUCUUAAAAGCCUAAGUAGUGUUUCCUUGUUAGAAGAUACAAAGACAAAGAUUCAUACGAACUUCGGCUACACUAUCAAAGCUAUAAG
This 234-nucleotide small RNA is filed under the name Arabidopsis thaliana (thale cress). Its description in RNAcentral is "ATSL198590". The record is from RNAcentral. Lineage: Eukaryota; Viridiplantae; Streptophyta; Magnoliopsida; Brassicales; Brassicaceae.